This 199-nucleotide long non-coding RNA is filed under the name Elaeis guineensis (African oil palm). RNAcentral describes it as "long non-coding RNA (EGUI_LNC021330)". Lineage: Eukaryota; Viridiplantae; Streptophyta; Magnoliopsida; Arecales; Arecaceae. The record is from RNAcentral.
GGGGCACCUAGAUAGAAGUCUUCACGCCAUCACAUGGGAGACUCCACAUGCCAAGACUCCACACCUGGAUAGGAGUCUUUCACCGUGUGAUUUUUUUCUUUCUUUUGUUAUGUCGCACAAAAUCAAGAUGAUGUUACAUGGUGAUUAUUGGUCUCCCCUUUAAAUAGAUUAGGCAUCUUAAAUCUGGUUAAAGACAUAA